Molecule: non-coding RNA, 120 nt
Organism: Nitrospira sp. SG-bin2
Lineage: Bacteria; Pseudomonadati; Nitrospirota; Nitrospiria; Nitrospirales; Nitrospiraceae
Source: Rfam
AACACCUUUAACGCUCAUCCUGUGAGGUGAGCAAGGAGUUUGUUAUGACAAGUGCGCCGGCUUGUGCCGGGUUUUGUAAUGCAACCUUCUCACCAAGAUACGGUGGGGAGGUUUUUUUAU